GACGAACGCUGGCGGCGUGCUUAACACAUGCAAGUCGAACGGUAAGGCCCUUCGGGGUACACGAGUGGCGAACGGGUGAGUAACACGUGGGUGAUCUGCCCUGCACUUCGGGAUAAGCCUGGGAAACUGGGUCUAAUACCGGAUAGGACCACUGCCUACAUGGGUGGUGGUGGAAAGCUUUUGCGGUGUGGGAUGGGCCCGCGGCCUAUCAGCUUGUUGGUGGGGUGAUGGCCUACCAAGGCGACGACGGGUAGCCGGCCUGAGAGGGUGACCGGCCACACUGGGACUGAGAUACGGCCCAGACUCCUACGGGAGGCAGCAGUGGGGAAUAUUGCACAAUGGGCGCAAGCCUGAUGCAGCAACGCCGCGUGAGGGAUGACGGCCUUCGGGUUGUAAACCUCUUUCAGCACCGACGAAGCGCAAGUGACGGUAGGUGUAGAAGAAGGACCGGCCAACUACGUGCCAGCAGCCGCCGCCG
RNAcentral lists this ribosomal RNA (478 nucleotides) under uncultured bacterium. RNAcentral's name for it is "partial 16S ribosomal RNA". It matches the Rfam family "Bacterial small subunit ribosomal RNA", at positions 28 to 523 of the family's 1533-position model. The record is from RNAcentral.